GACUUUUGCUUAGUGUAUACGAGUUCUUAAAAAGAAAGGAGCAAUAUCAAUCCUCUUGAUAGAAAAAGAGAUUGGUUAUUGCUCCUUUAGCAUAAGGUUUUUUCUUUUUUUUUUUUUACUUCAAUUUCAUAAAAAAAAGUCUUCUUAAUUUAUGAUUGCGUAUCGUUUUUUACGUUUUUGAAUUGGAAUAUAUAUGCUCAAAUUUUUUUACUAAUACAAGUAACUAUUAAAGG
Molecule: unclassified non-coding RNA, 233 nt
Filed under: Reaumuria songarica
Lineage: Eukaryota; Viridiplantae; Streptophyta; Magnoliopsida; Caryophyllales; Tamaricaceae
Description: Hololachna songarica psbA-trnH intergenic spacer
Source: RNAcentral